Molecule: long non-coding RNA, 226 nt
Filed under: Homo sapiens (human)
Lineage: Eukaryota; Metazoa; Chordata; Mammalia; Primates; Hominidae
Description: HSALNT0297314
Source: RNAcentral
CUCAUUUUCUCUCGCUGCCGCAUGUAAGAAGUGCCUUUCACCUCCUACCAUGAUUCUGAGGCCUUCCCAGCCAUGUGGAACUGCAUUCCUGGUUCUCAGUGCCUCAGAUGGAAAUGGAAUCUACACCGUUGGCCUUCCUAAGUCUCCAGCUUGCAAAUGGCAGAUUAAGUACAUUCUCAGCCUUCAUAAUCAUGUGGACCAAUAUAUUCUUAUAAGUAUCUUUUAU